Molecule: ribosomal RNA, 543 nt
Filed under: uncultured Rahnella sp.
Lineage: Bacteria; Pseudomonadati; Pseudomonadota; Gammaproteobacteria; Enterobacterales; Yersiniaceae
Description: bacterial SSU rRNA
Rfam family: Bacterial small subunit ribosomal RNA
Source: RNAcentral
GUGCCAGCCGCCGCGGUAAUACGGAGGGUGCAAGCGUUAAUCGGAAUUACUGGGCGUAAAGCGCACGCAGGCGGUUUGUUAAGUCAGAUGUGAAAUCCCCGCGCUUAACGUGGGAACUGCAUUUGAAACUGGCAAGCUAGAGUCUUGUAGAGGGGGGUAGAAUUCCAGGUGUAGCGGUGAAAUGCGUAGAGAUCUGGAGGAAUACCGGUGGCGAAGGCGGCCCCCUGGACAAAGACUGACGCUCAGGUGCGAAAGCGUGGGGAGCAAACAGGAUUAGAUACCCUGGUAGUCCACGCUGUAAACGAUGUCGACUUGGAGGUUGUGCCCUUGAGGCGUGGCUUCCGGAGCUAACGCGUUAAGUCGACCGCCUGGGGAGUACGGCCGCAAGGUUAAAACUCAAAUGAAUUGACGGGGGCCCGCACAAGCGGUGGAGCAUGUGGUUUAAUUCGAUGCAACGCGAAAGAACCUUACCUAACUCUUGACAUCCACGGAAUUCGCCAGGGAUGGCUUAGUGCCUUCGGGAACCGUGAGACAGGUGCUGCA